This 253-nucleotide ribosomal RNA is filed under the name uncultured bacterium. Its description in RNAcentral is "partial 16S ribosomal RNA". It matches the Rfam family "Bacterial small subunit ribosomal RNA", at positions 524 to 776 of the family's 1533-position model. The record is from RNAcentral.
UACGGAGGGUGCGAGCGUUAAUCGGAAUUACUGGGCGUAAAGAGUGCGUAGGUGGUUGAUUAAGUUAUCUGUGAAAUUCCUGGGCUCAACCUGGGACGGUCAGAUAAUACUGGUUGACUCGAGUAUAGGAGAGGGUAGUGGAAUUUCCGGUGUAGCGGUGAAAUGCGUAGAGAUCGGAAGGAACACCAGUGGCGAAGGCGGCUACCUGGCCAAAUACUGACACUGAGGCACGAAAGCGUGGGGAGCAAACAGG